UACGUAGGUGGCAAGCGUUGUCCGGAAUUAUUGGGCGUAAAGUGCGCGCAGGUGGUUUCUUAAGUCUGAUGUGAAAGCCCACGGCUCAACCGUGGAGGGUCAUUGGAAACUGGGGAACUUGAGUGCAGGAGAGAAGAGUGGAAUUCCACGUGUAGCGGUGAAAUGCGUAGAGAUGUGGAGGAACACCAGUGGCGAAGGCGACUCUUUGGCCUGUAACUGACACUGAGGCGCGAAAGCGUGGGGAGCAAACAGG
This 253-nucleotide ribosomal RNA is filed under the name uncultured bacterium. RNAcentral's name for it is "partial 16S ribosomal RNA". It matches the Rfam family "Bacterial small subunit ribosomal RNA", at positions 524 to 776 of the family's 1533-position model. The record is from RNAcentral.